RNAcentral lists this ribosomal RNA (427 nucleotides) under uncultured bacterium. RNAcentral describes it as "bacterial SSU rRNA". It matches the Rfam family "Bacterial small subunit ribosomal RNA", at positions 355 to 774 of the family's 1533-position model. The record is from RNAcentral.
UAAGGAAUAUUGGUCAAUGGACGCAAGUCUGAACCAGCCAUGCCGCGUGUGUGAAGAAGGCCUUCGGGUUGUAAAGCACUUUUAUCUGGAGCGAAAUCUGCAGGGCUAAUACCCAUGCAGUCUGACGGUACCAGAGGAAUAAGCACCGGCUAACUUCGUGCCAGCAGCCGCGGUAAUACGAAGGGUGCAAGCGUUACUCGGAAUUACUGGGCGUAAAGCGUGAGUAGGUGGUUUCUUAAGUCUGCUGUGAAAGCCCCGGGCUCAACCUGGGAAUUGCAGUGGAUACUGGGGAGCUAGAGUGCGGUAGAGGGUAGUGGAAUUCCCGGUGUAGCAGUGAAAUGCGUAGAGAUCGGGAGGAACACCAGUGGCGAAGGCGACUAUCUGGACCAGCACUGACACUGAGGCACGAAAGCGGGGGGAGCAAACA